GUUUUUGCUAAUCUGUAAUUAGAAAAAUUCAGUUAAUGAUACAUCAAGUGGUGGGAGUAUUUUGAAAAUUCUUUGAAGAGUGCGAGAGCUACACCUUGUACCCUGAGGCUUCCAAGGUAAACAUCAUUCAAUUAUCUGUAAUAAAAAUGAGGAACAAGAAUAAAAGUAGAUUUAACAAAUAACAGCAUUAAGAAUAGCUAUUGUGUAAUCUGUUCUCACAGUGGGUUCGUUUAUAGUGUUUUGUUAGAAACUAGUAGGCACACUAAACAUUUUAAUGAGACUCACUGCAUGAAUAAUGAAUGUAAAAGGAUCCUGAGUAUAUACUCCUACCUUGACAAAAGUAACCUUUAAAUUGAAGACUGAUUUCUUGGGCAAGAAUUUUUUCAGUUUAAUGUUAUUAAGAAAAUAGCAGAUUUUGAGGCACCUGGCUGGCUCAGCCGGUACAGCGUGCAACUCCUGAUCUCAGGUUAGAAGUUCAAGCCCCACGUUGGGUAUAGAGGUUACUUAAAAAUAAAAUCUUAAGAAUAGCAGAUUUUAUGUACUAUGACCACUGGGACAUGGGUGGGACAUGGGAAGUCAAGAUCCUGUGGAUUGCUAGGAUCACUCAUUCUUGGGCAAGAAUACCCAAUAUUCUAUCAGAAUCAGUUGGACCAGAGGUUUUCUGGUCCAGCUCUUUCAUUUUUCUGGCCCCCUCACUCGGAUAAUCCUACUUAUUCUCUUUCAUUCUGGUCCAGAGGACACCUUUGAUGAAUUCCAAGAUCUAGGUCACUAGAGAAAAUUGUAGUUAUCUAGUUGUCUAUAUUGAAAUGUUUUCUGGAAACUCUUGGUGGAAAGUUUAAGACUUCUAAGAAUGCUGUACAAUUGUUCCUUUUAAACGUGUCAUAAAUUCUCUCUCUCUUCUAGGUUAUUCAUUUAAAGUCAAUUGAGUUCCACAUUCCCUGGAUGGUUGAGCAGCCAUUUACCAUACAAGUCAAAACUGAUGAAUCCUUUAAGCCUGUAUGUUUAAAAGAUUGGCAGUGAAAUGUUUUGUGGACUUAAGUACCACAUACCCAAUUAAGUCCAUUGCUGUACAGAGGACACGCACCUGUUUCUGGUAUGUGUAGUGACCGUCUCUUUCACUCAUUCGGUGAAUACACCACCAGAGAGG
RNAcentral lists this long non-coding RNA (1147 nucleotides) under Lynx pardinus (Iberian lynx). Lineage: Eukaryota; Metazoa; Chordata; Mammalia; Carnivora; Felidae. The record is from RNAcentral.